UAAUAAGUGUUUUAUGGCACUUUUUAAUCCAUAUCCACCUUGUGUGCAAUGUCAGUCGAUCUUCUUCAUGGAGAUCGACCAAACAUCAACCUUUAUCUUUUAACUCUUUGUCUGAAAAAUAUUAUGAAUAAACAAUUCAAAAUA
RNAcentral lists this unclassified non-coding RNA (144 nucleotides) under soil metagenome. RNAcentral's name for it is "partial internal transcribed spacer 1". The record is from RNAcentral.